AAGCUGCGAUACGUAGUGUGAAUUGCAGAAUCCGUGAAUCAUCGAAUUCUUGAACGCAACUGGCGCUUCCUGGCUUGCCGGGAAGCAUGCCUGUUUCAGCGUCAUAAUCCUAAACUCACACCUCUCGAUGGGAGGUAGUGGAGAUGAGGGUCACGCUGCUUGGCAGCGGGUCCCUUGAAAGGCAGUGACGCGCGCCGCGGCCCUGGUGGCUCCGCUGGCCUCUGUGGUGGUAGAAAUCAUAAUGCAUUUCCGCAACGCAGAGGUGGAGUCGACCGUACCGUGGUGAGGCGGCGAAAUCCCAUAUUCAAUCUAUGACCUGAAAUCAGGCAAGAUGACCCGCUGAACUUAA
This 349-nucleotide unclassified non-coding RNA is filed under the name uncultured Glomeraceae. Its description in RNAcentral is "sequence contains ITS1". The stretch from base 1 to 104 matches the Rfam family "5.8S ribosomal RNA", at positions 50 to 154 of the family's 154-position model. Lineage: Eukaryota; Fungi; Glomeromycota; Glomeromycetes; Glomerales; Glomeraceae. The record is from RNAcentral.